This 468-nucleotide ribosomal RNA is filed under the name uncultured bacterium. Its description in RNAcentral is "partial 16S ribosomal RNA". It matches the Rfam family "Bacterial small subunit ribosomal RNA", at positions 28 to 507 of the family's 1533-position model. The record is from RNAcentral.
GACGAACGCUGGCGGCGUGCUUAACACAUGCAAGUCGAACGGAAAGGCCCUGCUUUUGUGGGGUGCUCGAGUGGCGAACGGGUGAGUAACACGUGAGUAACCUGCCCUUGACUUUGGGAUAACUUCAGGAAACUGGGGCUAAUACCGGAUAGGAGCUCCUGCUGCAUGGUGGGGGUUGGAAAGUUUCGGCGGUUGGGGAUGGACUCGCGGCUUAUCAGCUUGUUGGUGGGGUAGUGGCUUACCAAGGCUUUGACGGGUAGCCGGCCUGAGAGGGUGGCCGGCCACAUUGGGACUGAGAUACGGCCCAGACUCCUACGGGAGGCAGCAGUGGGGAAUAUUGCACAAUGGGCGGAAGCCUGAUGCAGCAACGCCGCGUGCGGGAUGACGGCCUUCGGGUUGUAAACCGCUUUCGCCUGUGACGAAGCGUGAGUGACGGUAAUGGGUAAAGAAGCACUGGCUAACUACGUG